UCACAUUCUUUUUUGAUCACCAAGAACUAUUCUUUCGCCUUUUACUAAAGAAUACCGUGUACACACUGCAAUUAAUGACAUACACCUAUUUUUGGAGGAGUUACUCUUUAUUGAGUACU
RNAcentral lists this small nuclear RNA (119 nucleotides) under Solanum tuberosum (potato). RNAcentral describes it as "snRNA U5". It matches the Rfam family "U5 spliceosomal RNA". From Rfam's summary of the family: U5 RNA is a component of both types of known spliceosome. The precise function of this molecule is unknown, though it is known that the 5' loop is required for splice site selection and p220 binding, and that both the 3' stem-loop and the Sm site are important for Sm protein binding and cap methylation. The record is from Rfam by way of RNAcentral. Lineage: Eukaryota; Viridiplantae; Streptophyta; Magnoliopsida; Solanales; Solanaceae.